Molecule: non-coding RNA, 623 nt
Filed under: Pongo abelii (Sumatran orangutan)
Lineage: Eukaryota; Metazoa; Chordata; Mammalia; Primates; Hominidae
Source: RNAcentral
GCGAGCAGGCGCGUGUGACGUCGGGAGGCGCCGCGGCUCCACGGCCGCCCUACUCUGUGGUCCCCGGUCUGGACCCAAACUGCUGACUGGCUGACCCGAGUGGUCACAUUUGCCCUCUGGGGCUUUUGAAAACCUUAAAUCAAAAUUGCUUUUGAAUCUGACAACUCCUGAGGCUACUUUCGCGGCCUCGGGGCUGUUUCAUAUAAGGACGCGAAUUUUCCCGAUCAGGUCGGUCGGCCACGUUACGAUUUCCAAUUUGCGAUCCAUCAGUUACUUCCAUUGGGUCUUCGGCCCCCAGGGACUGUGGAUCGUAGACCCCGCGGAGAAGCCCGUGGACUGGAGCUGUGUCAGCUCUGAUGAGAACCUGGAAGACUACUCUGCCAAAACAUCUCAAAAAGUGUGUGUCUGGAAUUGGUGGGUUCUUGGUCUCACUGACUUCAAGAAUGAAGCCGUGGACCCUUGCGGAACUGUGAAGACUAGAGUGACCUUGGAGAUCUCAUCUGGAAGAUGGUAGAACUGCCAUCAGCCUGGGUUCCCAAAUGACCUCGUGGAUCACAGCUACCCAUGGCCUGAAAUGUUGACCUUGGAGUUGUUACAUAGGAAAGAAAUAAACUUCUUUGUUC